Molecule: ribosomal RNA, 479 nt
Filed under: uncultured anaerobic ammonium-oxidizing bacterium
Lineage: Bacteria
Description: bacterial SSU rRNA
Rfam family: Bacterial small subunit ribosomal RNA
Source: RNAcentral
UUUCGCAAUGCCCGAAAGGGUGACGAAGCGACGCCGCGUGAGUGAGGAAGGCCUUCGGGUUGUAAAGCUCUGUCAGGAGUUAAGAAAUAUAAGUGUGCUAAUACCACAUUUAUUUGACAAAAGCUCCAAAGGAAGCCACGGCUAACUCUGUGCCAGCAGCCGCGGUAAUACAGAGGUGGCAAGCGUUGUUCGGAAUUAUUGGGCGUAAAGAGCACGUAGGUGGGUUUGUAAGUCAGACGUGAAAGCCUUCUGUUCAACGGAAGAAUUGCAUCUGAAACUGCGAGUCUUGAGUGUAGGAGAGGAGAAUGGAACUUCUGGUGGAGCGGUGAAAUGCGUAGAUAUCAGAAGGAACGCCGGCGGCGAAAGCGAUUCUCUGGCCUAUUACUGACACUCAGUGUGCGAAAGCUAGGGGAGCAAACGGGAUUAGAUACCCCGGUAGUCCUAGCUGUAAACGAUGGGCACUAAGUAGAGGGGUUUUA